This 507-nucleotide ribosomal RNA is filed under the name uncultured archaeon. Its description in RNAcentral is "bacterial SSU rRNA". It matches the Rfam family "Archaeal small subunit ribosomal RNA", at positions 352 to 859 of the family's 1478-position model. The record is from RNAcentral.
UCAAUGCACUUACGUGUGAAGGGGCUACCUCGAGUGCCACCUGAUGAAGGUGGCUUUUCCUAAGUCUAAAAAGCCUUGGGAAUAAAAGGGGGGCAAGACUGGUGUCAGCCGCCGCGGUAACACCAGCCCCUCGAGUGGUGGGGAUGAAUAUUGGGCCUAAAGCGUCCGUGGCCUGCCGUGUAAGUUUCCCGUUAAAUCCAGCGUCUUAAGCGUUGGACCGCGGGAAAUACUGUACGGCUAGAGAGUGGGAGAGGUCAACGGUUUUUUUUUUGGUAGGGGCGAAAUCCUUUGAUCCCAGGAGGACCACCAGUGGCGAAGGCUGCUGACCAGGACACGCCUGACGGUGAGGGACCAAAGCUGGGGUAGCGAAUCGGAUUAAAUACCCGAGUAGUCCCAGCCGUAAACGAUGCAGGCUAGGUGUUGAGGUGGCUACCAGCCACUUCAGUGCCGCAGGGAAGCCAUUAAGCCCGCCGCCUGGGGGAGUACGGCCGCAAGGCUGAAACUUAA